Molecule: ribosomal RNA, 561 nt
Filed under: uncultured bacterium
Lineage: Bacteria
Description: bacterial SSU rRNA
Rfam family: Bacterial small subunit ribosomal RNA
Source: RNAcentral
CCUACGGGAGGCAGCAGUGGGGAAUAUUGGACAAUGGGCGAAAGCCUGAUCCAGCAAUGCCGCGUGAGUGAUGAAGGCCUUAGGGUUGUAAAGCUCUUUUACCAGGGAUGAUAAUGACAGUACCUGGAGAAUAAGCUCCGGCUAACUCCGUGCCAGCAGCCGCGGUAAUACGGAGGGAGCUAGCGUUGUUCGGAAUUACUGGGCGUAAAGCGUACGUAGGCGGUUAUUCAAGUCAGAGGUGAAAGCCUGGAGCUCAACUCCAGAACUGCCUUUGAAACUAGAUAGCUAGAAUCUUGGAGAGGUGAGUGGAAUUCCGAGUGUAGAGGUGAAAUUCGUAGAUAUUCGGAAGAACACCAGUGGCGAAGGCGACUCACUGGACAAGUAUUGACGCUGAGGUACGAAAGCGUGGGGAGCAAACAGGAUUAGAUACCCUGGUAGUCCACGCCGUAAACGAUGAUAACUAGCUGUUCGGGCUCUACGAGCUUGAGUGGCGCAGCUAACGCAUUAAGUUAUCCGCCUGGGGAGUACGGUCGCAAGAUUAAAACCUUAAUGAAUUGACGG